UACGUAGGGCGCAAGCGUUAUCCGGAAUUAUUGGGCGUAAAGAGCUCGUAGGCGGUUUGUCGCGUCUGCCGUGAAAGUCCGGGGCUCAACUCCGGAUCUGCGGUGGGUACGGGCAGACUAGAGUGAUGUAGGGGAGACUGGAAUUCCUGGGUGUAGCGGUGAAAUGCGCAGAUAUCAGGAGGAACACCGAUGGCGAAGGCAGGUCUCUGGGCAUUAACUGACGCUGAGGAGCGAAAGCAUGGGGAGCGAACAGG
RNAcentral lists this ribosomal RNA (254 nucleotides) under uncultured bacterium. RNAcentral describes it as "partial 16S ribosomal RNA". It matches the Rfam family "Bacterial small subunit ribosomal RNA", at positions 524 to 776 of the family's 1533-position model. The record is from RNAcentral.